UGGAAGUAAAAAUCGUAACAAGGUCUCCGUUGGUGAACCAGCGGAGGGAUCAUUACCGAGUUUACAACUCCCAAACCCCUGUGAACAUACCAAUUGUUGCCUCGGCGGAUCAGCCCGCUCCCGGUAAAACGGGACGGCCCGCCAGAGGACCCCUAAACUCUGUUUCUAUAUGUAACUUCUGAGUAAAACCAUAAAUAAAUCAAAACUUUCAACAACGGAUCUCUUGGUUCUGGCAUCGAUGAAGAACGCAGCAAAAUGCGAUAAGUAAUGUGAAUUGCAGAAUUCAGUGAAUCAUCGAAUCUUUGAACGCACAUUGCGCCCGCCAGUAUUCUGGCGGGCAUGCCUGUUCGAGCGUCAUUUCAACCCUCAAGCCCAGCUUGGUGUUGGGACUCGCGAGUCAAAUCGCGUUCCCCAAAUUGAUUGGCGGUCACGUCGAGCUUCCAUAGCGUAGUAGUAAAACCCUCGUUACUGGUAAUCGUCGCGGCCACGCCGUUAAACCCCAACUUCUGAAUGUUGACCUCGGAUCAGGUAGGAAUACCCGCUGAACUUAAGCAUAUCAUAGGCC
This 565-nucleotide ribosomal RNA is filed under the name Fusarium proliferatum. Its description in RNAcentral is "eukaryotic LSU rRNA". The stretch from base 204 to 357 matches the Rfam family "5.8S ribosomal RNA". The record is from RNAcentral. Lineage: Eukaryota; Fungi; Ascomycota; Sordariomycetes; Hypocreales; Nectriaceae.